CAGGCUUAACACAUGCAAGUCGAGGGGCAUCAGGAAGAAAGCUUGCUUUCUUUGCUGGCGACCGGCGCACGGGUGAGUAACACGUAUCCAACCUGCCCUUUACUCGGGGAUAGCCUUUCGAAAGAAAGAUUAAUACCCGAUAGCAUAAUGAUUCCGCAUGGUUUCAUUAUUAAAGGAUUCCGGUAAAGGAUGGGGAUGCGUUCCAUUAGGUUGUUGGUGAGGUAACGGCCCACCAAGCCUUCGAUGGAUAGGGGUUCUGAGAGGAAGGUCCCCCACAUUGGAACUGAGACACGGUCCAAACUCCUACGGGAGGCAGCAGUGAGGAAUAUUGGUCAAUGGGCGCUAGCCUGAACCAGCCAAGUAGCGUGAAGGAUGAAGGCUCUAUGGGUCGUAAACUUCUUUUAUAUAAGAAUAAAGUGCAGUAUGUAUACUGUUUUGUAUGUAUUAUAUGAAUAAGGAUCGGCUAACUCCGUGCCAGCAGCCGCGGUAAUACGGAGGAUCCGAGCGUUAUCCGGAUUUAUUGGGUUUAAAGGGAGCGUAGGUGGACUGGUAAGUCAGUUGUGAAAGUUUGCGGCUCAACCGUAAAAUUGCAGUUGAUACUGUCAGUCUUGAGUACAGUAGAGGUGGGCGGAAUUCGUGGUGUAGCGGUGAAAUGCUUAGAUAUCACGAAGAACUCCGAUUGCGAAGGCAGCUCACUGGACUGCAACUGACACUGAUGCUCGAAAGUGUGGGUAUCAAACAGGAUUAGAUACCCUGGUAGUCCACACAGUAAACGAUGAAUACUCGCUGUUUGCGAUAUACAGUAAGCGGCCAAGCGAAAGCAUUAAGUAUUCCACCUGGGGAGUACGCCGGCAACGGUGAAACUCAAAGGAAUUGACGGGGGCCCGCACAAGCGGAGGAACAUGUGGUUUAAUUCGAUGAUACGCGAGGAACCUUACCCGGGCUUAAAUUGCAGUGGAAUGAUGUGGAAACAUGUCAGUGAGCAAUCACCGCUGUGAAGGUGCUGCAUGGUUGUCGUCAGCUCGUGCCGUGAGGUGUCGGCUUAAGUGCCAUAACGAGCGCAACCCUUAUCUUUAGUUACUAACAGGUUAUGCUGAGGACUCUAGAGAGACUGCCGUCGUAAGAUGUGAGGAAGGUGGGGAUGACGUCAAAUCAGCACGGCCCUUACGUCCGGGGCUACACACGUGUUACAAUGGGGGGUACAGAAGGCAGCUAGCGGGUGACCGUAUGCUAAUCCCAAAAUCCUCUCUCAGUUCGGAUCGAAGUCUGCAACCCGACUUCGUGAAGCUGGAUUCGCUAGUAAUCGCGCAUCAGCCACGGCGCGGUGAAUACGUUCCCGGGCCUUGUACACACCGCCCGUCAAGCCAUGGGAGCCGGGGGUACCUGAAGUACGUAACCGCAAGGAUCGUCCUAGGGUAAAACUGAUGACUGGG
RNAcentral lists this ribosomal RNA (1433 nucleotides) under uncultured organism. RNAcentral's name for it is "16S ribosomal RNA". It matches the Rfam family "Bacterial small subunit ribosomal RNA". The record is from RNAcentral.